This 144-nucleotide small RNA is filed under the name Firmicutes bacterium CAG:646. RNAcentral describes it as "Clostridiales-1 RNA". It matches the Rfam family "Clostridiales-1 RNA". Lineage: Bacteria; Bacillati; Bacillota. The record is from Rfam by way of RNAcentral.
AUAUGCUAUACUAUGUCAUAAUUAAGUUGAUACCUUUAUGACCCGUCCCAAUAUGCGAAUAAAAGUGGGGCGCAUGCCCCACGAUAUUCGAAUUUGGGGCAGAAUUGUGGAAGUGCGAAGCACGAAACAAUUCGUCAGGCAUCU